Molecule: ribosomal RNA, 423 nt
Filed under: uncultured bacterium
Lineage: Bacteria
Description: bacterial SSU rRNA
Rfam family: Bacterial small subunit ribosomal RNA
Source: RNAcentral
UGAGGAAUAUUGCGCAAUGGAGGCAACUCUGACGCAGCCAUGCCGCGUGCAGGAAGACGGCCCUACGGGUUGUAAACUGCUUUUAUCCGGGAAGAAACCCCUCGACGUGUCGAGGGUUGACGGUACCGGAGGAAUAAGCACCGGCUAACUUCGUGCCAGCAGCCGCGGUAAUACGAAGGGUGCAAGCGUUAUCCGGAUUCAUUGGGUUUAAAGGGUGCGUAGGCGGGGCGGUAAGUCAGUGGUGAAAUCCUGCAGCUUAACUGUAGCAUUGCCAUUGAUACUGCCGCUCUUGAGUACGCUUGACGUGGGCGGAAUGUGCCGUGUAGCGGUGAAAUGCUUAGAUAUGGCACAGAACACCGAUUGCGAAGGCAGCUCACGAAGGCGAAACUGACGCUGAGGCACGAAAGCGUGGGGAUCGAACAG